This 459-nucleotide long non-coding RNA is filed under the name Olea europaea subsp. europaea. The record is from RNAcentral. Lineage: Eukaryota; Viridiplantae; Streptophyta; Magnoliopsida; Lamiales; Oleaceae.
UUUUGAAAUAAUAAGUACUUUCUUUGUACAAAGACUUCAAAAAUAUAUGACUUGUCAAGUGUUAUUAAAAUGUCUGACUUGGGGGUUCGCACUUAUUGCAUCACCGACAAUUUCUUUAUAGCAUUAUGGUUAUUGAAUUUCGCACUUGUGUGGUUGGACAUGUAUUUACACCUUGCUAACAUUUUUCUUGAAUCUUAGAAGCUUGACUACUUAAUUGGAGCUGUUGCAAACCAAAAGAAGCCAUUUGCUACAAUAGUUUGUUCCACUCAUCGGUAUUUUGAUGAUGUUUUUGAGCUCUAAAGGAGCCUACAACUUUGACUUGGUUCUUGCUUUUGUAGCGUAUAUUUGACUCGCUAUAGUUCUGAAAUAACUCACUGGCUAACUAAUGAGAUAAAUUGCUUACUUUGCUGCUACAUGUUAUAUAAAGAAAGAUGAGAAUGAUUGCGGCCCCUAUUAAAG